CGUGUAUAUCAGCACGAAAUUACUUGGGAGGAGGUCGGCGAAAUAAUCGCCGGAUAUAUGUCGAUCCAGUAUCAUUAGCUUUUUGCUGUUCAGUAUGACUAGAAACAAUGAUGAUUCUUUCCAACAGUUGCUCAAUGCAUACCUGACGAUUACGGAGAAAUGCUUCAGACAAUGUAUCCAUAAGAAUGAAAGAGCCGAGUUGAAACUUAGAGAGGUUCGACGUUAUGAGGCCUGUGUAAAACGAGAAAUGAAGCUGUACAGAGAAGAUAUGUACAAUAAAAAUACAGAGUGGA
Molecule: long non-coding RNA, 293 nt
Organism: Schistocerca serialis cubense
Lineage: Eukaryota; Metazoa; Arthropoda; Insecta; Orthoptera; Acrididae
Exons: 3
Source: RefSeq, a predicted model, not a curated record